This 352-nucleotide unclassified non-coding RNA is filed under the name soil metagenome. RNAcentral describes it as "partial contains 5.8S ribosomal RNA, internal transcribed spacer 2, and large subunit ribosomal RNA". The stretch from base 1 to 120 matches the Rfam family "5.8S ribosomal RNA", at positions 35 to 154 of the family's 154-position model. The record is from RNAcentral.
GAUGAAGAACGUAGCGAAAUGCGAUAAGUAAUGUGAAUUGCAGAAUUCAGUGAAUCAUCGAAUCUUUGAACGCACAUUGCGCCCAUUAGUAUUCUAGUGGGCAUGCCUGUUCGAGCGUCAUUAAGUCCACUUAAGCCCUGCUUAGUGUUGGGAGACUGCUCCAGCGGUGCUACCCUGUAGCUACCCUGCAGCUCCUCAAAGACAGCGGCGGAGUUGUGGUAUCCUCUGAGCUUAGUAACUUGUUCUAGCUUUCGAGUACACCACUUCCCCUGCCGUAAAACCCUUAAUUUUUAAUGGUUGACCUCGGAUCAGGUAGGAAUACCCGCUGAACUUAAGCAUAUCAAUAAGCGGA